UACACAAGAUCCAGCGCACUCACCUAUCCACUAAACAGCAAUAAAAAAACUAAUAAAAUCUUUCAAUAUUGAAGUUGCUGUUUAGUGGAUAGGUGAGUGCGCUGGAUCUUGUGUAU
Pelobates cultripes (western spadefoot toad) is the source of this 116-nucleotide non-coding RNA. The record is from the annotation of a GenBank genome assembly. Lineage: Eukaryota; Metazoa; Chordata; Amphibia; Anura; Pelobatidae.